Molecule: ribosomal RNA, 253 nt
Filed under: uncultured bacterium
Lineage: Bacteria
Description: partial 16S ribosomal RNA
Rfam family: Bacterial small subunit ribosomal RNA
Source: RNAcentral
UACGUAGGGUGCGAGCGUUAAUCGGAAUUACUGGGCGUAAAGCGUGCGCAGGCGGUUCGUUAAGUCAGAUGUGAAAGCCCCGGGCUCAACCUGGGAACUGCAUUUGAAGCUGGCGGGCUUGAGUGUGGCAGAGGGGGGUGGAAUUCCGCGUGUAGCAGUGAAAUGCGUAGAGAUGCGGAGGAACACCGAUGGCGAAGGCAGCCCCCUGGGCCAACACUGACGCUCAGGCACGAAAGCGUGGGGAGCAAACAGG